Non-coding RNA from Manis javanica (Malayan pangolin), 216 nucleotides. Lineage: Eukaryota; Metazoa; Chordata; Mammalia; Pholidota; Manidae. The record is from RefSeq and is a predicted model, not a curated record.
AGUUUCAGUCUGAUGGAGGCAAACAAGAAGAUAAAGAGAAAACGGAAGUUAUCCUUAGCUGUUUGCUUAGCAUUACUGACCAGGUACUACUUCCAUCUCUUUCGUUGAUGGACUGCAAUGCUUGUAUUUCUGAGGAACUAUGGGGAAUGUUUAAAACAUUUCCAUAUCAGCAUAGAUAUCAUCUGUAUGGCCAAUGGAAGAAUGAAACUUAUAACA